CUUGCUCCUCCUCUCUGCAGAGUCACCAUGUGAGCCCAGGAAGACAGGAUGCUUGUCACUGGUGUCCAGUCAUUUCGAUUGGAUUCACCCUCUUACUGCGUGUCUAAAUACUGAAAAUUCACCUGACAGUUAAGGGCAAGGGAAGAUGGUUUCUUACAUAUUGAAACAGAUAUCCCACUUGCCCGGAUUUGAUGAGUUGAAAUGAAAAUCUUAAUCCUGGAUACAUAAAAAGUAUCCAGUCGCUCAAACAGAUGUGAGAAAGCUAGAAGAGGGCAGGGCAGACCAGUUGAUGGACGUCUAGGCUAUUUCCAACUUCUGGCUAUUACCAAUAGAACAGCAGUGAACACGGAUGAGCAAGUCUCCCUGUGAGCAGAUACAAGCCUAGGAAAAAGAAAGUGUGAUGCUAUCUGGAAAAUAAUAGUAACUGCACAGAAGCAAUGGAGAAACUGGUUACUGCUACUUACGUAGCUCAAGAAUCAGCCGGUGCGAGCUUUGAACGAUUAACUUCCCAGUGGUAACCCAGACAAGGCCAAUAUGCAAAAGUGCAAAGCUGUAGGUACCACUAGAAGACGACGUAAACUCAAGCAGAACCCGCUAAUAAGCUCUAGAGCGAGCGGAGCUGAGACCACCAGAGGUGGUGAGUGACACCACAGCAGACGCCAUCUUGCUGUCUUUCAAUUGCAAAAUGAUCACAAUGAAGACCUCUGUCAA
RNAcentral lists this long non-coding RNA (711 nucleotides) under Cricetulus griseus (Chinese hamster). RNAcentral describes it as "lncRNA (ENSCGRG00015037783.1)". Lineage: Eukaryota; Metazoa; Chordata; Mammalia; Rodentia; Cricetidae. The record is from RNAcentral.